AUUGAACGCUGGCGGAAUGCUUUACACAUGCAAGUCGAACGGCAGCACGGGGCAACCUGGUGGCGAGUGGCGAACGGGUGAGUAAUAUAUCGGAACGUGCCCAAUCGUGGGGGAUAACGUAGCGAAAGUUACGCUAAUACCGCAUACGAUCUACGGAUGAAAGCGGGGGAUCGCAAGACCUCGCGCGAAUGGAGCGGCCGAUAUCAGAUUAGGUAGUUGGUGGGGUAAAGGCUCACCAAGCCAACGAUCUGUAGCUGGUCUGAGAGGACGACCAGCCACACUGGAACUGAGACACGGUCCAGACUCCUACGGGAGGCAGCAGUGGGAAUUUUGGACAAUGGGGGAACCUGAUCCAGCCAUGCCGCGUGCAGGAUGAAGGCCUUCGGGUUGUAAACUGCUUUGUACGAACGAAAGGUCUUUUCUAAUAAAGAAGGCUGAUGACGGUACCGUAAGAAUAAGCACCGGCUAACUACGUG
RNAcentral lists this ribosomal RNA (476 nucleotides) under uncultured bacterium. Its description in RNAcentral is "bacterial SSU rRNA". It matches the Rfam family "Bacterial small subunit ribosomal RNA", at positions 30 to 507 of the family's 1533-position model. The record is from RNAcentral.